Molecule: ribosomal RNA, 482 nt
Filed under: uncultured bacterium
Lineage: Bacteria
Description: bacterial SSU rRNA
Rfam family: Bacterial small subunit ribosomal RNA
Source: RNAcentral
UUGAACGCUGGCGGCAUGCUUUACACAUGCAAGUCGAACGGCAGCGGGGGCUUCGGCCUGCCGGCGAGUGGCGAACGGGUGAGUAAUGCAUCGGAACGUACCCAGUCGUGGGGGAUAACUACGCGAAAGCUUUGCUAAUACCGCAUACGAUCUACGGAUGAAAGCAGGGGACCGCAAGGCCUUGCGCUCAUGGAGCGGCCGAUGGCAGAUUAGGUAGUUGGUGGGAUAAAAGCUUACCAAGCCGACGAUCUGUAGCUGGUCUGAGAGGACGACCAGCCACACUGGGACUGAGACACGGCCCAGACUCCUACGGGAGGCAGCAGUGGGGAAUUUUGGACAAUGGGCGCAAGCCUGAUCCAGCCAUGCCGCGUGCAGGAUGAAGGCCUUCGGGUUGUAAACUGCUUUUGUACGGAACGAAAAGACUCCUUCUAAUAAAGGGGGUCCAUGACGGUACCGUAAGAAUAAGCACCGGCUAACUACGU